GAUGAACGCUGGCGGCGUGCCUAAUACAUGCAAGUCGAGCGAACGGACGAGAAGCUUGCUUCUCUGAUGUUAGCGGCGGACGGGUGAGUAACACGUGGAUAACCUACCUAUAAGACUGGGAUAACUUCGGGAAACCGGAGCUAAUACCGGAUAAUAUUUUGAACCGCAUGGUUCAAAAGUGAAAGACGGUCUUGCUGUCACUUAUAGCUGGCUCCGCGCUGCAUUAGCUAGUUGGUAAGGUAACGGCUUACCAAGGCAACGAUGCAUAGCCGACCUGAGAGGGUGAUCGGCCACACGGGAACUGAGACACGGUCCAGACUCCGACGGGAGGCAGCAGUAGGGAAUCUUCCGCAAUGGGCGAAAGCCUGACGGAGCAACGCCGCGUGAGUGAUGAAGGUCUUCGGAUCGUAAAACUCUGUUAUUAGGGAAGAACAUAUGUGUAAGUAACUGUGCACAUCUUGACGGUACCUAAUCAGAAAGCCACGGCUAACUACGUG
This 497-nucleotide ribosomal RNA is filed under the name uncultured bacterium. RNAcentral's name for it is "partial 16S ribosomal RNA". It matches the Rfam family "Bacterial small subunit ribosomal RNA", at positions 28 to 507 of the family's 1533-position model. The record is from RNAcentral.